GUCUUGCCAUGGUCAACGUGGGCGAUGAUCGCGAUAUUCCGAAUAUCGCUCCGACGUUCUUUCGGUUCGAGUUGCGUGGUG
This 81-nucleotide transfer RNA is filed under the name Nitrospira sp. Its description in RNAcentral is "tRNA-Arg". The record is from RNAcentral. Lineage: Bacteria; Pseudomonadati; Nitrospirota; Nitrospiria; Nitrospirales; Nitrospiraceae.